AUGGAUAAUUGCAAUAAACUUAUUUUCUGGAAUGUGCAUGGCCUCAAUUGCAAAGCUAAACGCACUGCCGUCCAAACGGUCAUCUCCUCGGCCUCCCCCCUCAUCGUAUGCUUGCAAGAGACCAAGCUGGCCGUGGUCACUCCCACACUCGUCUUUGAGACGCUUGGCAAACAAUUUUCGGACUUCUACUUCCUUCCCGCCGACGGAAUGCGCGGAGGCAUCCUCAUGACAUGGUGUGUGGAUCUGAUUGCCCUUGCCAACCGUACCAUUGGCACUUAUCAUGUUUCUGCCACCGUCUCCUCCCUCUCUGGCUCCAACACAUGGUGGCUAACGUGCGUGUACGGGCUGCAAUCCGAGCCGGACAAGCUCACUUUCUUAGCCGAGCUGCAUGAUCUCCGGGACUCCAUUGCGGGCCAUGGCUUAUUGGUGGAGACUUCAACAUGA
Molecule: ribosomal RNA, 444 nt
Filed under: Triticum aestivum (bread wheat)
Lineage: Eukaryota; Viridiplantae; Streptophyta; Magnoliopsida; Poales; Poaceae
Description: partial small subunit ribosomal RNA
Source: RNAcentral